UGUGUGUGUGAAGUGAUGUGACAAGUGAAAGUGGAGUAGCAUGAAAACAAAAUCCUCAGGUGUUCACGCGUCAAAAAAACUAAUAUACAUUUGUGUGCAUUUGUAAGUGCUUGAGCUCUGAUGACAGUGCUCAGCCUCAACACUCAUAUGUCAAUCAAGGCUUGAUUGAUUUUGAAAUCAAAAGAAAAAUAAUUAUGGAUUUCAGUUGAAGCUUAAAUGUUCAUAUGCAAUUGUGUAUGCAUGCAUAUAUAACUGCACAUAAAAUAAGAGUUUAACAGUCAACGCUGCAAAAUAUUCUUGCCACAGUGCCAUUAGUAUCCAUUUAUUUCCAACGAGAAGCCAUAAUAAAAUUCAUAACCACUCGCCAUGCAUUAACCAUAAAAUAUUAUUAAAGAGCCAAGCUUUAAAAAUAUAUACACAACUACAUGUGUGUGUGUGUGUGUGUGGGUGAUUGUGUAUAUGCAACAGCAACUGUAUAAUUGACAGCGGAAUACGAAACGUGUCAUUGUGCUAAUUGUAUUUCUUCGAUUUUUGCCGGCUGCAUAACGGGAAAUCAAUGCAUCAGUCCACGUGCUGUAUUCAAAUAUCCUAACAUACAUAUAUGUACGUGUUUGGACACGUGUUUGUGCAUGUGCAUGUGUGUGUGUGAACAGUGCAUGCAAUGCAGCAAGGAUGCGGCAACUACUCGGUCAUGCUCGGCGUUGUCCAUGACCCUCAACGUAAGCUACACGGGCGUUUGCCGCUGUAUUUGAGCUUUUGCUGCUGCCUCUCUUCGAAUACUUCCUGCUUUCCUCAAAGCCCAUGCAACCACCUUGACAACAAGUGUCCUCCAAAAACUUCCGGCUGAUAUACAAGUAUAAAUAAAACGCGCAGAGAAAGUAUAUACCGUGAUAAGUGCAACAGCAACAAUAAAAAGUCAUAGAAAAAUUCAACAAAAAUUAUUUUUCACAAAAAGAAACGCAGAAAAACUUAGUAAAGCAAUGUCAAAUUGGCAAGCGAUUGCAUCGAGCAGAGAGUAGUAAUUGCAUUUUGUGUGGCGCGCAGCAGGAAUUGAACAAUUGCCAGCCACAACAGCAGCAGCAUCAACAACAGCGCCGCCAAUUGAGUGCAAAUUGCGUGCCAACAACACGCUGCACACGACAACCAGCCAUCAUUUGCAGUUUUAACGGCAUAAUUUGAAAAACAUACUGCUGGUGAGGAGCAUAAGCAACAGACUGAUUUAAAAGGCGCUUCCUUGCGCUUUCACCAACCCAAAGAGAAGAGCUUUACUGCACACAAAUACACACACAUUCCAGUCGCUGAUUAUUUUCUUAAGUAGCUCAUACUAAAUAUAAAUAUGGUGCAUGCACCGGCACGUAAAAAUAAUAAAAACUCAAAUGGCAAUUGUGAUUUGGUGGAGGAUGUACUGACACCGGUGCCACCAGAUGGCGGCUGGGGUUGGAUGGUCGUCUUCGGAUCGUUUAUGAUACACA
Molecule: long non-coding RNA, 1472 nt
Organism: Bactrocera tryoni
Lineage: Eukaryota; Metazoa; Arthropoda; Insecta; Diptera; Tephritidae
Exons: 3
Source: RefSeq, a predicted model, not a curated record